Molecule: ribosomal RNA, 469 nt
Filed under: uncultured bacterium
Lineage: Bacteria
Description: partial 16S ribosomal RNA
Rfam family: Bacterial small subunit ribosomal RNA
Source: RNAcentral
GACGAACGCUGGCGGCGUGCUUAACACAUGCAAGUCGAACGGAAAGGCCCUGCUUUUGUGGGGUGCUCGAGUGGCGAACGGGUGAGUAACACGUGAGUAACCUGCCCUUGACUUUGGGAUAACUUCAGGAAACUGGGGCUAAUACCGGAUAGGAGCUCCUGCUGCAUGGUGGGGGUUGGAAAGUUUCGGCGGUUGGGGAUGGACUCGCGGCUUAUCAGCUUGUUGGUGGGGUAGUGGCUUACCAAGGCUUUGACGGGUAGCCGGCCUGAGAGGGUGACCGGCCACAUUGGGACUGAGAUACGGCCCAGACUCCUACGGGAGGCAGCAGUGGGGAAUAUUGCACAAUGGGCGGAAGCCUGAUGCAGCAACGCCGCGUGCGGGAUGACGGCCUUCGGGUUGUAAACCGCUUUCGCCUGUGACGAAGCGUGAGUGGCGGUAAUGGGUAAAGAAGCACCGGCUAACGACGUGC